Molecule: transfer RNA, 74 nt
Filed under: Planctomycetota bacterium
Lineage: Bacteria; Pseudomonadati; Planctomycetota
Description: Planctomycetes bacterium tRNA-Met
Rfam family: tRNA
About the family: Transfer RNA (tRNA) molecules are approximately 80 nucleotides in length. Their secondary structure includes four short double-helical elements and three loops (D, anti-codon, and T loops). Further hydrogen bonds mediate the characteristic L-shaped molecular structure. tRNAs have two regions of fundamental functional importance: the anti-codon, which is responsible for specific mRNA codon recognition, and the 3' end, to which the tRNAs corresponding amino acid is attached (by aminoacyl-tRNA synthetases). tRNAs cope with the degeneracy of the genetic code in two manners: having more than one tRNA (with a specific anti-codon) for a particular amino acid; and 'wobble' base-pairing, i.e. permitting non-standard base-pairing at the 3rd anti-codon position.
Source: RNAcentral
GGGGCUGUAGCUCAAUCGGUUAGAGCAGCGGACUCAUAAUCCGUUGGUUGAGAGUUCGAGUCUCUCCGGCCCCA